UACGUAGGGUGCAAGCGUUGUCCGGAAUUAUUGGGCGUAAAGAGCUCGUAGGCGGUCCGUCGCGUCUGCUGUGAAAACCAGAGGCUCAACCUCUGGCCUGCAGUGGGUACGGGCGGACUAGAGUGCGGUAGGGGAGAUUGGAACUCCUGGUGUAGCGGUGGAAUGCGCAGAUAUCAGGAAGAACACCGAUGGCGAAGGCAGAUCUCUGGGCCGUAACUGACGCUGAGGAGCGAAAGCAUGGGGAGCGAACAGG
RNAcentral lists this ribosomal RNA (253 nucleotides) under uncultured bacterium. RNAcentral describes it as "partial 16S ribosomal RNA". It matches the Rfam family "Bacterial small subunit ribosomal RNA", at positions 524 to 776 of the family's 1533-position model. The record is from RNAcentral.